Molecule: ribosomal RNA, 470 nt
Filed under: uncultured bacterium
Lineage: Bacteria
Description: partial 16S ribosomal RNA
Rfam family: Bacterial small subunit ribosomal RNA
Source: RNAcentral
GACGAACGCUGGCGGCGUGCUUAACACAUGCAAGUCGAACGCUGAAGCACCAGCUUGCUGGUGUGGAUGAGUGGCGAACGGGUGAGUAAUACGUGAGUAACCUGCCCUUGACUCUGGGAUAAGCCCGGGAAACUGGGUCUAAUACUGGAUGCUACAUGUCACCGCAUGGUGGUGUGUGGAAAGGGUUUACUGGUCUUGGAUGGGCUCACGGCCUAUCAGCUUGUUGGCGAGGUAAUGGCUCACCAAGGCGACGACGGGUAGCCGGCCUGAGAGGGUGACCGGCCACACUGGGACUGAGACACGGCCCAGACUCCUACGGGAGGCAGCAGUGGGGAAUAUUGCACAAUGGGCGAAAGCCUGAUGCAGCGACGCCGCGUGAGGGAUGACGGCCUUCGGGUUGUAAACCUCUUUCAGCAGGGAAGAAGCCACAAGUGACGGUACCUGCAGAAGAAGCGCCGGCUAACUACGUG